This 391-nucleotide long non-coding RNA is filed under the name Coturnix japonica (Japanese quail). Its description in RNAcentral is "lncRNA (ENSCJPG00005008724.1)". The record is from RNAcentral. Lineage: Eukaryota; Metazoa; Chordata; Aves; Galliformes; Phasianidae.
AGCAAGUUUGGUGAUGCUUCCUUGCUCUUGUGAUCUGUCGUGUAUCUUGUGAUAUUUAUUGCUUUAUAAAUGUUGGUGGUCACAUGAGAAUCUGAGCUAUCCAUUUCUAUGCUGUUUCUAGGUCUCAUGGUCAGAGGGAUAUGUUUAAGGCCCUCCACAGUGAGCGUGAAGACAAGGAUAUCAGAAGACAAAUAGACCUCCAGGCUUCUUCUACCCAGCUGACUGAAAGUGGAAAGGAGAUGGCAGCCUGCACCAGGCUGAGGUCCUGGACCCUCUCUGCUGAAUUUCUGAGAACCAUCACAGGUGUCCCAUCUCUACUGAACACACAGAAAUCCUAGGAAAUUGUUUUCACCCAGAAGAAAACAGUAAUAAACCCCCCAACACAGUAUCA